GACGAACGCUGGCGGCGUGCUUAACACAUGCAAGUCGAACGGAAAGACCCUGCUUUUGUGGGGUGCUCGAGUGGCGAACGGGUGAGUAACACGUCAGUAACCUGCCCUUGACUUUGGGAUAACUUCAGGAAACUGGGGCUAAUACCGGAUAGGAGCUCCUGCUGCAUGGUGGGGGUUGGAAAGUUUCGGCGGUUGGGGAUGGACUCGCGGCUUAUCAGCUUGUUGGUGGGGUAGUGGCUUACCAAGGCUUUGACGGGUAGCCGGCCUGAGAGGGUGACCGGCCACAUUGGGACUGAGAUACGGCCCAGACUCCUACGGGAGGCAGCAGUGGGGAAUAUUGCACAAUGGGCGGAAGCCUGAUGCAGCAACGCCGCGUGCGGGAUGACGGCCUUCGGGUUGUAAACCGCUUUCGCCUGUGACGAGGCGUGAGUGACGGUAAUGGGUAAAGAAGCACCGGCUAACUACGUG
This 468-nucleotide ribosomal RNA is filed under the name uncultured bacterium. RNAcentral describes it as "partial 16S ribosomal RNA". It matches the Rfam family "Bacterial small subunit ribosomal RNA", at positions 28 to 507 of the family's 1533-position model. The record is from RNAcentral.